Molecule: small RNA, 2128 nt
Filed under: Pongo abelii (Sumatran orangutan)
Lineage: Eukaryota; Metazoa; Chordata; Mammalia; Primates; Hominidae
Description: retained intron
Source: RNAcentral
CUUGACAGUGGAUCCCUGGGGAUCUACGCUGAGUUCGGAGAUGCUCCAGCUCGGGCCGCCCCUGUCUGAGCGGAGCUUUGCGGCGCUGAAGCUUACAGGGGAAGGAGAAGCCUCGCCCGGCGUCUGAUUGGUGGAACCGCGCUGCCGCAGCCUGGGAUUCCCCAGGGACCCCCCGGAGCCGCUGCGUCUCCCAUGGACUUGCCCGGGGACUCCAGCCCGCCUGGCCAGCCGCGUCUGUGCCGCCAGCCUCUGACUCGAGCAUUAUGGGGAGCCAGGAGCCCGAAACGGCCGAGGCUGCAGCUCCCGGGGGCCCCUUCUCCCCUGGAAAAGGCCUCUCGGCGGGUCCUGGCCGUGGUGCUAGAAGAUGUCAUGGCUGUUCACAUGGUCCCCGUGGUGCCCUCAAAGGAGACCUCCAUCCCACGGCACCACAGCUACCGUCAGGAUCCUGUCCACAGGCAGCCGCCUGCCUCGCCACCCCUGCAGGCCGGGUGGUCCUUGCAGGCCAGGUGAGCAUGGCAGGAUGGGGGCAAGCCGAGGGCCCAGCUGAGCCAUUUUAAUCUUGCUGUUCCCUUGCUAGGCCUCCCGACCCUCUGUGUUUGUGUCGCGAGCCCUUGAGCCGCAUCCACCGGACCUCUUCCACCCUGAGGCGGCGAUCAAGGACAACCCCUGGCCCAGAGGAGGGCCCUUCACAAAAGGUGGACCGGGCCCCCCAGCCCACCCUGGUGGUGAUGCUAGAAGACAUCGCCAGUCCUAGACCCCCAGCUGAGGGCUUCAUUGAUGAGACCCCCAACUUCAUCAUCCCAGCACAAAGAGCUGAGCCCACGAGGAUAGUUCGCCAGCCAACGCCUCCACCCGGGGACCUAGAACCCCCAUUCCAGCCAUCUGCUCUGCCUGCAGAUCCUCUGGAGAGCCCACCACCAGCCCCAGAUCCUGCUCUGGAGCUCCCAUCCACCCCACCACCGUCCAGCCUUUUACGCCCCCGCCUCAGUCCCUGGGGCUUGGCCCCGCUCUUCCGUUCCGUCCGCUCCAAGCUGGAGAGCUUUGCUGACAUCUUCCUCACGCCCAACAAAACCCCACAGCCCCCACCCCCGUCCCCCCCAAUGAAGCUGGAGUUGAAGAUCGCCAUCUCAGAGGCCGAGCAGUCUGGGGCUGCUGAGGGCACUGCGUCUGUCAGCCCCCGGCCCCCAAUCCGCCAGUGGCGGACUCAGGACCACAAUACCCCAGCACCUCUCCCUAAGCCCUCUCUGGGCCGAAGCUACUCCUGCCCUGAUCUGAGGCCCCCUGGCCCAGGUACCUGCACCUGGCCACCUGCUCCACCCCAACCAAGCCGGCCACGGCCGCGGCGGCACACUGUGGGUGGUGGGGAAAUGGCCCGAGCCCCGCCACCCCCUCGGCCCUGUCUCCGGAAAGAGGUCUUCCCUCUCGGAGGAGUGGGAGCCUCCCCUUCUCUCGCCACAUCUUGCUCGUCCACGGCAUCCACUUCCUCCUUCUCCGAACCAGCAGAACCCAGGUUGGGUUCAACCAAAGGGAAGGAGCCAAGAGCCUCAAAGGACCAGGUGCUUUCAGACCCUGAGACCAAGACCAUGGGAAAGGUUUCUCGAUUUAGAAUACGCAGAACACCAGCCCGUCCUCAGCUAAACCUUACACCAAUGGGACUGCCUCGACCAAUCAGGUUGAACAAGAAGGAGUUCAGCUUGGAAGAAAUUUACACCAACAAGAAUUACCAAUCACCCACAACCAGGAGGACCUUUGAGACCAUCUUCGAGGAACCCCGGGAGCGCAAUGGGACUCUGAUUUUCACCAGCUCAAGGAAGCUCCGGCGGGCUGUGGAAUUUCGGGACAGCAGCCUUCCUCGAUCACGAAGGCCGUCCCGUGGGGUCCGGGCUGCAGGGGGCAGGACUGUUCCUCCCAAUGUGGCCCCCAGCCCUGAUGUGGGCCCUCUGCUCCAGCAGCGGCUGGAGGAGCUAGAUGCCUUGCUCCUGGAGGAAGAAACAGUAGAUCGGGAGCAGCCCCACUGGACCUAGGUGCCCCAUCUGCUGGUUAUCCAUCCUGAAGGGACGGGAAACCUCCCAGGCAGUUAUUUUUUUUUUUCUAUAUAUUUCUAGUAAAGUUUUCGAUAUGUUUCUGA